ACUCUCCACUCCAGUCCAUUGUAAUAUGGUUGUAUGGUUGUAUGGUUGUAUGGUUUUGUGUCGUAGAAAUGUACUGGUGUAGUUAUGUUAUGAUGUUGAUGUUGUUAUUUGGUGCCUUAAUACAGUCUAAGUCCUGUCUGUGCCUGGGGGAGGGGGUUCUACUGAACGAUGUGGAAUUGUUUUAAGAAUGUCAAACCAAGGAUCUUCUUGUUAUUUGGUGCCUUAAUACAGUCUAAGUCCUGUCUGUGCCUGGGGGAGGGGGUUCUACUGAACGAUGUGGAAUUGUUUUAAGAAUGUCAAACCAAGGAUCUUCUUGUUAUUUGGUGCCUUAAUACAGUCUAAGUCCUGUCUGUGCCGGGGGAGGGGUUCUACUGAACGAUGUGGAAUUGUUUUAAGAAGGUCAAACCAAGGAUCUUCUUGUUAUUUGGUGCCUUAAUACAGUCUAAGUCCUGUCUGUGCCGGGGGAGGGGGUUCUACUGAACGAUGUGGAAUUGUUUUAAGAAUGUCAAACCAAGGAUCUUCUUGUUAUUUGAUUUAGAGUUUUAAGACUCAUCGAGGUAUCAAAAAAACAUAUAUAAAACAAAUAUUUGAUGAA
This is a non-coding RNA of Oncorhynchus mykiss (rainbow trout), 595 nucleotides long. NCBI's taxonomy places the organism in Eukaryota, Metazoa, Chordata, Actinopteri, Salmoniformes, Salmonidae. The record is from RefSeq and is a predicted model, not a curated record.